This 45-nucleotide non-coding RNA is filed under the name Schistosoma mansoni. Lineage: Eukaryota; Metazoa; Platyhelminthes; Trematoda; Strigeidida; Schistosomatidae. The record is from RNAcentral.
AUCCAGCUGAUGAGUCCCAAAUGGGACGAAACGCGCGUCCUGAAU